RNAcentral lists this ribosomal RNA (504 nucleotides) under uncultured fungus. RNAcentral's name for it is "SSU rRNA". It matches the Rfam family "Eukaryotic small subunit ribosomal RNA", at positions 248 to 755 of the family's 1831-position model. Lineage: Eukaryota; Fungi. The record is from RNAcentral.
GAUUCAUAGUAACUUAACGGAUCGCAUGGCCUUGCGCCGGCGACGGUUCAUUCAAAUUUCUGCCCUAUCAACUUUCGAUGGUAAGGUAUUGGCUUACCAUGGUUUCAACGGGUAACGGGGAAUUAGGGUUCGAUUCCGGAGAGGGAGCCUGAGAAACGGCUACCACAUCCAAGGAAGGCAGCAGGCGCGCAAAUUACCCAAUCCCGACACGGGGAGGUAGUGACAAUAAAUACUGAUACAGGGCUCUUUUGGGUCUUGUAAUCGGAAUGAGUACAAUUUAAACCCCUUAACGAGGAACAAUUGGAGGGCAAGUCUGGUGCCAGCAGCCGCGGUAAUUCCAGCUCCAAUAGCGUAUAUUAAAGUUGUUGCAGUUAAAAAGCUCGUAGUUGAACCUUGGGCCUGGCUGGCCGGUCCGCCUCACCGCGUGUACUGGUCCGGCCGGGCCUUUCCUUCUGGAGAGCCCCAUGCCCUUCACUGGGUGUGCGGGGGAACCAGGACUUUUAC